UACGUAGGGUGCGAGCGUUAAUCGGAAUUACUGGGCGUAAAGCGUGCGCAGGCGGCUUUGCAAGACAGAUGUGAAAUCCCCGGGCUCAACCUGGGAACUGCAUUUGUGACUGCAAGGCUAGAGUACGGCAGAGGGGGAUGGAAUUCCGCGUCUAGCAGUGAAAUGCGUAGAUAUGCGGAGGAACACCAAUGGCGAAGGCAAUCCCCUGGGCCUGUACUGACGCUCAUGCACGAAAGCGUGGGGAGCAAACAGG
This 253-nucleotide ribosomal RNA is filed under the name uncultured bacterium. RNAcentral describes it as "partial 16S ribosomal RNA". It matches the Rfam family "Bacterial small subunit ribosomal RNA", at positions 524 to 776 of the family's 1533-position model. The record is from RNAcentral.